This 468-nucleotide ribosomal RNA is filed under the name uncultured bacterium. RNAcentral's name for it is "partial 16S ribosomal RNA". It matches the Rfam family "Bacterial small subunit ribosomal RNA", at positions 28 to 507 of the family's 1533-position model. The record is from RNAcentral.
GACGAACGCUGGCGGCGUGCUUAACACAUGCAAGUCGAACGGAAAGGCCCUGCGUUUGUGGGGUUCUCGAUUGGCGAACGGGUGAGUAACACGUGAGUAACCUGCCCUUGACUUUGGGAUAACUUCAGGAAACUGGGGCUAAUACCGGAUAGGAGCUCCUGCUGCAUGGUGGGGGUUGGAAAGUUUCGGCGGUUGGGGAUGGACUCGCGGCUUAUCAGCUGGUUGGUGAGGUAGUGGCUUACCAAGGCUUUGACGGGUAGCCGGCCUGAGAGGGUGACCGGCCACAUUGGGACUGAGAUACGGACCAGACUCCUACGGGAGGCAGCAGUGGGGAAUAUUGCACAAUGGGCGGAAGCCUGAUGCAGCAACGCCGCGUGCGGGAUGACGGCCUUCGGGUUGUAAACAGCUUUCGACUGUGACGAAGCGUGAGUGACGGUAAUGGGUAAAGAAGCAACGGCUAACUACGUG